RNAcentral lists this ribosomal RNA (376 nucleotides) under uncultured bacterium. Its description in RNAcentral is "bacterial SSU rRNA". It matches the Rfam family "Bacterial small subunit ribosomal RNA", at positions 339 to 733 of the family's 1533-position model. The record is from RNAcentral.
CUACGGGAGGCAGCAGUGGGGAAUAUUGCACAAUGGGGGAAACCCUGAUGCAGCGACGCCGCGUGAGCGAUGAAGGCCUUCGGGUCGUAAAGCUCUGUCUUAAGGGAAGAUAAUGACGGUACCUUAGGAGGAAGCCCCGGCUAACUACGUGCCAGCAGCCGCGGUAAUACGUAGGGGGCGAGCGUUGUCCGGAAUUACUGGGCGUAAAGGGUGCGCAGGCGGUCUUGUAAGUCAGAUGUUAAAGCCCUCGGCUUAACCGAGGUAAGCAUUUGAAACUGCAGGGCUUGAGUGCAGGAGAGGAGAGUGGAAUUCCUAGUGUAGCGGUGAAAUGCGUAGAUAUUAGGAGGAACACCAGUGGCGAAGGCGACUCUCUGGA